This 253-nucleotide ribosomal RNA is filed under the name uncultured bacterium. Its description in RNAcentral is "partial 16S ribosomal RNA". It matches the Rfam family "Bacterial small subunit ribosomal RNA", at positions 524 to 776 of the family's 1533-position model. The record is from RNAcentral.
GACAGAGGGUGCAAACGUUGUUCGGAAUUACUGGGCGUAAAGCGAGUGUAGGCGGUUUGGUAAGUCGGAAGUGAAAGCCCUGGGCUCAACCCAGGAAGUGCACUCGAAACUGCCAAGCUAGAGUAUCGGAGAGGUUGGUGGAAUUCUCGGUGUAGAGGUGAAAUUCGUAGAUAUCGAGAGGAACACCGGUGGCGAAGGCGGCCAACUGGACGAAUACUGACGCUGAGACUCGAAAGCGUGGGGAGCAAACAGG